Molecule: long non-coding RNA, 1551 nt
Organism: Brassica napus (rape)
Lineage: Eukaryota; Viridiplantae; Streptophyta; Magnoliopsida; Brassicales; Brassicaceae
Exons: 4
Source: RefSeq, a predicted model, not a curated record
ACCAUCCCACAAGGCCCAAGGAAUAGAAGGCCUGGCCCGGACCAAAGAAAGCGAUGGCUUAGAUAGUCGGCUUAAAAGGUCAGUCUCUCGGCUCUCUUCUAGAGUACCUUGAGUCGACCGACGUCGACUAAGAGGCACCCAGCUCGGCGACCGCUCGGAUGAAUACGGGCCUCUCGGCCCAAUAAGGAAAGCCCACGAAGACGACAUAAGCUAGGUCAAGAACGACACAUCAGAGGACUAUAUAAGGAGAAGGAAGAGGAACGAGAAAGGGAUCCGAAAUCAUCUGACUAACACUUGGCGGCUAGAUUAGGGUUUUCACCUUUACUUCAUCUUGCCGUUAUUUGUACUUUUCCGGUAGCUCAUCGAGUUACCGGCCUCUUCUCUGUCGCAUUCUCUUUACUUCUCUUGUAACCGACUGAACGUUUCUUCCGACCAUAAUAAAAACGUCUUUGUUAAACCCACAUCUCCUUUUCACCGUUUUCCGAUCAAACAAGAAUGUUACACCAACUUUUGAUGAACUUGAAAAAUUCAAUAAGCCAAGUGAAAAUGGAGAGGCCGAAUUUGGUGGUCUGUCAACUUUAUUUGCAAACAGAAAGAAAGGUCACUUUAUGAAGGGUGAUGCAGUUAUCGUUAUCAAGGGGGAUCUUAAAAACUUGAAAGGUUGGGUUGAGAAAGUAGAUGAGGAAAACGUUCUGAUCAGAUCAGGAAUGAAAGGUCUCCCUGUAAGCAUCCUUACCACUUGGCUUUUGGUACUGGUUGCGUGUUUCUAAGAUCAUCGAGCCAUGGAAAAAGGCCGACCAUUACUCUUGUAUUGCAGGAUCCUCUUGCUGUAAAUGAGAAAGAGCUCUGCAAUACUUUGAGCCUGGAAAUCACGUGAAGGUUGUUUCUGGGACCCAUGAAGGAGCAACAGGCAGGGUUGUCAAAGUUGAUCAACAUGUGCUUAUCAUUCUGUCUGACACGACCAAAGAACAUGUCCGCGUGUUUGCUGAUCAUGUUGUUGAGAGCUCAGAAGUGACAACUGGUGUUACCAAAAUCGGGCAGUAUGAACUUCAUGAUCUUGUCCUUCUGGAUAACCUUAGCUUUGGAGUAAUUAUACGUCUAGAAAAUGAAGCUUUUCAGAUAAAUUGCCAACUUUCUGAAAAUACAACAAUCAUUAAGUCUUAUGUGUAGCUGCUGCAGUUUCAGAUUUUCUUUUUGUUUUUCUUUUUCUUAUAAACGCCAAUGGAUGUUUAACUCUGUUUUAAUGUCCUUAGGUUCUUAAAGGGAAUCCUGACAGACCAGAGGUUGCUCUUGUCAAACUCAGAGAAAUCAAAUGCAAACUCGAUAGGAAAAUUAGUGUUCAAGAUCGCUACAAAAAUGUCAUUGCUGUGAAAGAUGAUGUUAGAGUAAUCGAGGGUCCUAGCCAAGGUAAACAAGGUCCCGUGAGGCAUAUAUACAAAGGAGUCUUAUUUAUAUAUGAUCGGCAUCACCUUGAGCAUGCUGGAUUUAUAUGCGCUAAAUGCACAUCAUGUAUUGUUGUUGGUGGAUCACGUUCUGGUACUAAUAGAAAUG